RNAcentral lists this transfer RNA (67 nucleotides) under Marmota monax (woodchuck). Its description in RNAcentral is "tRNA.Ser". The record is from RNAcentral. Lineage: Eukaryota; Metazoa; Chordata; Mammalia; Rodentia; Sciuridae.
GGUUAUUGCUCAGUGGUAGAGUGCUCGCCUAGAAUGCAUGAGGCACUGGGUUUGAUCCUCAGCACCA